GAUGAAGAACGUAGCGAAAUGCGAUAAGUAAUGUGAAUUGCAGAAUUCAGUGAAUCAUCGAAUCUUUGAACGCACAUUGCGCCCCCUGGUAUUCCGGGGGGCAUGCCUGUUCGAGCGUCAUUACACCACUCAAGCCUCGCUUGGUAUUGGGCAACGCGGUCCGCCGCGUGCCUCAAAUCGACCGGCUGGGUCUUCUGUCCCCUAAGCGUUGUGGAAACUUUCGCUAAAGGGUGUUCGGGAGGCUACGCCGUAAAACAACCCCAUUUCUAAGGUUGACCUCGGAUCAGGUAGGGAUACCCGCUGAACUUAAGCAUAUCAAUAAGCGGAGGA
RNAcentral lists this unclassified non-coding RNA (330 nucleotides) under soil metagenome. Its description in RNAcentral is "partial contains 5.8S ribosomal RNA, internal transcribed spacer 2, and large subunit ribosomal RNA". The stretch from base 1 to 120 matches the Rfam family "5.8S ribosomal RNA", at positions 35 to 154 of the family's 154-position model. The record is from RNAcentral.